Molecule: ribosomal RNA, 253 nt
Filed under: uncultured bacterium
Lineage: Bacteria
Description: partial 16S ribosomal RNA
Rfam family: Bacterial small subunit ribosomal RNA
Source: RNAcentral
UACGUAGGGGGCGAGCGUUGUCCGAAGUUACUGGGCGUAAAGCGCGCGUAGGCGGUUUGGCAAGUUUCGUGUGAAAACUUCGGGCUCAACUCGAAGCCUGCACGGAAAACUGCCGGGCUUGAGUAUGGGAGAGGUGAGUGGAAUUUCCGGUGUAGCGGUGAAAUGCGUAGAUAUCGGAAGGAACACCUGUGGCGAAAGCGGCUCACUGGACCAUAACUGACGCUGAGGCGCGAAAGCUAGGGGAGCAAACAGG